UAAAAUCAGGUUUGACUGAAACAAAAUAUUUGUGAAAAGGAGACCUCGCCCUCAAAAUAAGAAUACAGCAAGUUAAUACAACACCAAAACCAGGAAUCUUUGCGUUCCCACCUCCCAAACCCAAAAAAAAUACAGAUUUCAAGUAAACAGAAUUUACCAAUUUACCAUUACCAUUAUCGGAGCUUCUUUCUUCCUCCUCCUUUGGGCCAAUGUGGUAAUCAGUGACCUCGAAAAUCAUGAAUUUUCCUAAUUUGACUUUGAUUGUUUCAAGUCACAGACAGGAAAGCAGAGUACAGAAUUUACCCCGACUAUGCCGACGGCACCGCGGCAUGAAUGGCGGAAAUUAUUCCCGGCAACCUCGGGCCUUUAAAUUCAACAAUCUCGCAAGGUAAUCCAGUUUGCCGCUUCGCUGAUCGAAUCGCAGAGCCGAAUUAUUCAUAUUUAUUCUUGAUUUCCGUUGAUUGCUCCUGAAUUCUUCUCAAAACCCUGACCCUAGUCGAUCCAAUAAUUGCAAGGGGAAAUGAGUACCUCGGAUCUUCUGGCAUUGGAGGCAAAACAGGAAAAUUCACAGGCUGUGCGCCUGAAAGAAUUGGGGAUGUGGAUGAAGAGGUCAUGGUCGGCUGAUUCGCUGACAAAUACAGGAAUAAAAACCUGUGUAUGCGCGCCUACGAAGCACGCGGGAUCGUUUCGCUGCCGCCUCCACCGCAUGUCGCCGCCUCCGCAGGCGGCGCCGCUGCCUCCAUUUGCAGGAUCAUCCACUUCUCCCAAAAGCAUUAAUCCACAAUAAUAUUCAUAUUUUAUCCAGAUGUGCGUGUAAGCGUGAACAGCCGGCAUUCUGCUGUUUACGCCCUUCCUUAAUCUUUUGCAUACAUUCUUGCUUGGAACAACUGUCCUGUGUGUCGUUUUAUGUAUUGUUUCCGCCAUUUUUCCUGUUCUGCAGAGUUCGACGCAUCUGGCAAGCGCCUGUGUAUAAAUAAACAAUUUGUUGCUUUCU
Molecule: long non-coding RNA, 994 nt
Organism: Cryptomeria japonica (Japanese cedar)
Lineage: Eukaryota; Viridiplantae; Streptophyta; Pinopsida; Cupressales; Cupressaceae
Exons: 2
Source: RefSeq, a predicted model, not a curated record